CCCACUCGCCACACCCCGCUAAGUCUACCCCUUGCUCUCGCUUGCUCGUGUCCAUUCUCUCCUCACUCCCCUCUCUCUAUUCCCACUGCCCCGUCUUUGUCUACAUGGGUCAUAUCUAACUUGAGUGACGUGGGGAGUCCCCACCUGAUGUCCCUCACGUCCUACCUCCUACCUGCAUGCAUGGCCUUCUGUGGACACUCGUGGGGGUGCAGCAUCUUCCCUCGUAGCUUUUUUCAGAACCGUAAUUCUGACCCUACCACCCUCUUGCUUAAAAGACUUGGAAGGCUUGCUCUAGUUUCCAGAAAACUCUAAAUUCCUUUGUGCCGGACAGAAGUCCUAUUGGAAUCUGGCCCCUUUUCUUCUCUUGAGCUCAUCUCUGGCCGGUCGAACCCCAGGGAGUGAUAAUUAGACAAGUCAAUCACAGAAAGAGUACAAUUUUCUGGCCUCAGGGCUUGCCCAUUUUAAAGGUCAUCCAGGCAGAGGCAGCCGUCCAGACCACGGAGGCCAGAGUUGAAGGCUCUGAUUCAGAGUCUACAGAGCAACAGCAUCCACUGCUGGCCCCAAGCCCCUGGUCCUGCUCCUGUGCCCCUCAAGAGAGCAUCUUUCUGUAUUCCGGACUCCCAUCAGGCCAUGCGCCUCCAAUCACAGCCAAGGGACAGGUCCGUGGACACAGACAGCACAGGUUAUUCAGGAACUAGCUCAUGUGGCAGCUUCCUUCCAAGAGGUAACACGGAAUUUGACGCGGGUUACCCACGCUCCCCGCGCAGUACAUGGGAACCAUGCUUGAGAAGGAUCUGGAGGUAACUGCAUGGAGGAUGUCCACUGGGUGCCUAUGUACUCCUGCCAUUCAGGAGACCACUUCUCCCUUAAGAUUUAUGACUUUAUUUUAUGCUGUCAAAAUUCCAAGAUGCUGUAGUGACUAAUGGGAAGCAAGGAAAGGGAAGGAAUACUUCAGGUAGUGGAAAUACCAGAGAUGAUGGUUUCAUGUUUUUUUUUAAUGUUUAUUUAUUUUUGAGAGAGAGACAGAUAGAUAGAGUGUGAGCGGGGGAGGGACAGAGAGAGAGGGACACACGGAACCCGAAGCAGACUCCAGGCUCGGAGCUGUCAGCACAGAGCCCGGCACAGGGCUUGACCUCACGAACCCCGAGAUCACGACCUGAGACAAAGUCGGAUGCUUAACCAACCAAGCCACCCAGAGAUGAAAGUUUACAAGUUAGCAAAUGUUUACUGAGCACCUAUUACACACCGCUGGCUGAUUCCAGAUACACAGAGUUCAGGGCCACGCCACCCCUUAAG
RNAcentral lists this long non-coding RNA (1296 nucleotides) under Felis catus (domestic cat). RNAcentral's name for it is "lncRNA (ENSFCAG00000053826.1)". Lineage: Eukaryota; Metazoa; Chordata; Mammalia; Carnivora; Felidae. The record is from RNAcentral.